Molecule: long non-coding RNA, 770 nt
Organism: Raphanus sativus (radish)
Lineage: Eukaryota; Viridiplantae; Streptophyta; Magnoliopsida; Brassicales; Brassicaceae
Exons: 3
Source: RefSeq, a predicted model, not a curated record
UCCGUUGGUCUCCUGCGUUUUCAUUCAAAAGAAGACCAUAGUGAGCUACUCCGUUGUGUCGUGGGCGUGUACGGCAUGGUCAAACGGCUCAAAAAUCUCAUGUUUAGGACAUUGCUACUCUUUUCUGUUUGGAUGUGCAUGUUGUCCGAGAGAUCUCUUCCUUCACAUGUGUUUCAUGUAAUGAAACUAAUGUUGUGGCCUCUCUAAGGUACCGGCUGAUCUUAACUGUGUCAGACAACACUGAUACUGCAGCUUUCCUUGCUUUUGAUAUGGAGAUGGUUAAACUGACUAACAGUCAGCCUUCUGAGGCUGCACAAAUUGUGGGGAUAGGUGCUGAUGCUCAGGUUGAUACGGAACUUCCUCAGUCCCUUGCUGAGAUCGUUGGGAAAACUUAGACCUUCAAUUUCACUUCAAAGCACUGAACCUUUAAUAUCCCGCAUAUUUUCUGUGCGAGAUCUUGCACCGAUGCCAGCCUUUGUUAUAACUGUUCCUUAUCUUAAUGUGAAGUUACUGAAUUUUCUGCUGCCUGCAUUAUGUAAUAUAUUGUGUUCGUAACAUUAUUAAUAGGAAGGCGCAAAGCUAUUUGAAGAGUCGCUGCCUGAAGUUAUUGCAAUGAUGCUUCUACAGCCAAGCGUGAACCAUCUACCAAAGAACAAGGCGCUGUCGAUGAGAAUGCUCCGAAGAAAGUCUGUGUGGAAUGAGUCCACUACAAAGCUUAAGCAACCACAGCUUUUUUUUUCUUUUUUUUUUGUGCAACUAUCUUUUUUUUU